This 82-nucleotide transfer RNA is filed under the name Ixodes scapularis (black-legged tick). It matches the Rfam family "tRNA". From Rfam's summary of the family: Transfer RNA (tRNA) molecules are approximately 80 nucleotides in length. Their secondary structure includes four short double-helical elements and three loops (D, anti-codon, and T loops). The record is from Rfam by way of RNAcentral. Lineage: Eukaryota; Metazoa; Arthropoda; Arachnida; Ixodida; Ixodidae.
GCGGUCGUGGCCGAGUGGUUGAAGUGAUUGACUAGAAAUCCAUUGGGGUCUCCCCGCACAGGUUCGAAUCCUGUCGACUGCG